GCCGUGGCCUACUGGUUAGCGCUUCGGACUCAUAACCGGAGGGUUGACGGUUCGAACCCCGACCAGUAGGCA
RNAcentral lists this transfer RNA (72 nucleotides) under Alosa alosa (allis shad). RNAcentral's name for it is "tRNA-OTHER". The record is from RNAcentral. Lineage: Eukaryota; Metazoa; Chordata; Actinopteri; Clupeiformes; Clupeidae.